This is a non-coding RNA of Vicia faba (fava bean), 336 nucleotides long. Lineage: Eukaryota; Viridiplantae; Streptophyta; Magnoliopsida; Fabales; Fabaceae. The record is from the annotation of a GenBank genome assembly.
AUGAAGGAUAUAGCAAUUGAGAGUUUAUGGUGUAAUGAAGUGGGGGAUUUGAAGGAGGGUAUUGGAGUGACAUUGGCAUGUCUUUGUAGGCUAGCAGUAAUCGGUUUUGGGACAUCAGUACCAGGUUAUCUAUGUAGGGGCUAUUUUUGGCUAUUUUGGAACAUGAAAUCAGACGGAAAGAGACAAGGCAGCAAUGGCAAGUUUGACAGUAUGAGGGCUGGUUUCUUGAUAUGGUUUUGGAGUGGAGUGGGCAAGUCUAUGGACUGGCAUAGUUUUGGUAAUGUAGUGAUCAUGGUUGAUGCAAGACUUUGGGCCUGUUUUAAACAAGGUUCUUGA